This is an RNA transcript of Planococcus citri (citrus mealybug), 9599 nucleotides long. RefSeq lists it as uncharacterized. The record is from RefSeq and is a predicted model, not a curated record. The transcript has 4 exons. NCBI's taxonomy places the organism in Eukaryota, Metazoa, Arthropoda, Insecta, Hemiptera, Pseudococcidae.
GUGUCCGAGGCGGGCGGUGUAUGCGCACAUGUUCCGUUUUCUGAUAUUGCACCACAUCUUGGAACAUUUAAGACGCCCCUUUGAAGUCGACUUCAACUCGUACUCGUAGUAUACUUACGUUCGUCCUUCGUCGACGGUCGAUCGUCGAUCACACGAUCAGUCUUUCGAGCUCUUCGGUGGUGUAAGCAUCUCGUCCUCGUGUGAGUCGCGUGUUCUCCUGUAUAUGUUGUAGAAUUUUCCCAUUUUCGCGUUUCGUGUUGCAAUUUUUUUCAACAAAGACUCUUGUUUUCGUCUUCGGUAUUUUCAUUUUUUCGUUUUCUUGUUAAAAGGUUUUCUUUCGCGAUGUGAAGAUUUUCGAAAAUCGAAACAUUCGCGUUCGUUUGUAUAUUUUUUAACAUAUUGUGAUCGAUGUAGCUUUUCGUUAAUUUAAUUUCAUUUUUCGUUUCGUUUUUAAAGGUUGUGUCGCGAUGUGCGAAUUUUCAUCGAUCGAAUCAACUCGCCGAGAUUUUGAAUGCUGCUUGCAACCCAUUGCUUGCUUGGUUCCUGGUGGUUUGUCAAAGUUAUACGAACGGAGUUUAGUGCUGAUCGUGUUGAUUUAUCAUCCUGCUUCCUUCAUCAAAUUGCAUCUUGGCGACGAUUCCAGAUCCUGCUCGUCUUCUGAACUGAUUUUCAAAACGAAAAGAAGAGAAAACUCAAAGUAUACCAAUUUUGAAUCAAGAAAAGACUUUGCCGAUUUUUCGAUGUCGCCAUCGUUACCAAGACUGGGUGAUCGAAUUCGUAGUCUACUUUGAGGUAAAAAAUACUUUUUAUUAUUAUUUAAAAAGGUAUACAUAGGCUAUAUCUAUAUAAUAGGAGUAUUUCCAUAUCUAUCUGUUUAAUAUAUAGCUAAAUAUAGGGAGAUAAAGACUACCUCGUAUAAAAUAUGAUUAAGAAAUCAGCAUAACGUGGAAAGAAAAAAAAAAUUAGUAAAAAUACUGGUAUCGGUACCGGAAUGUCGCGUUACUCGUAAUACAAAACUGAUACGUCGUAAAAAGGAAUUUUAAAAUAGCAUUGAAAACGAAAAAAAAAAAAAAAAUAUGUACAGAAAUCGGCGAAACGCAAUGGUCUCGUCUCUGCCCGUUUGGUGGGAAAACGAAAAAAUAUCUAAAAAAAAAUACUACAACGGUAACGGGGGCGUUCGCGCCGACUAAGGAUUCAUUCGAUUGUUAGUUGGCGCAACCUUUGGACGAUUCCGGUUGUAACAGUGGACCGUUGAAUUUUAUUUUCCUUGUUUACUGAUUCUGCGAGCUCGUAGUCCAUUGUAGAUCGUAACUGUAGUUGUCGCAUCCUAUUGAGAAGAGCAUUUUGAUACGCUGUUUCCCUCCAGCGUUUGAUGUCUGUAUAUGGGAUGAGUUUUAUCCGGCAAGUAGCCGGUGUGGUUCCUAAGAACCACACCCGGCAAAGCACUGCCGAACCUCUCGCUUCAUAUUCUGUAUAGGGAAAACAAUAUUUAUUAAACACGAUGCUACGUUCAAAAAAUGCCUUCAUAAUUUUGGGUAGAAUAGAAUACGAGGGUCACUGCGCUUAGCAGUAUUCCUGUAUUGUACUCUAGAGUCGGAUUAUUCCGUUGGAGUAUCGGCAUACCUCAGAUCUGACGUACGCCGAUCUCGAAUAGAACAAUCCAAUUCUGGGUUUUCCAGAAAAAUAGACUUUCGUUAGUAUUGACACGAGACGGGUUAGAAUGUUGAGCUUGCGGGAUAUAUAUCUAAAACAUUUAGGUAGCCUAUUAUAAUUCUAAUUAUGUUAUAAUAAUUUAUAAAGCUGACGCAAUUUUUACUUUUCACAUACCCUCAAUUCUGUAAACUUGUUCCAUUGUAUUCCGUAAAUAAAGAUACUUCGUAGCUCUUGAUACUUUAUCGUAAAAAAAAAUAUGUGCAAUAUAAUGCUUCAAACGUAAAAAGGGCCUUAAUUUCGAACUUAUUCGACAAUACGUACAUUAACAACCCAAAAUUUACAAAAGCACGGUGUUUUGUUUUUAUCGCGUGGGUCUGAGAAAAUAUUGUCGUUUCUGUAAAACUAACACUCAUAAUUAAACAGAUUGUCGCCGCAAUAAAUUAAAUGCAGGAAGAAAUAAUCCGAACAAUAAUAAUGACAGAAAUUGAUAAAUAACUAACUGGACGUUCAGAGAGCUUUAUCAUAAGAUAACGACUAAGUAUUCUCUGAUCGUAAUGUGAUGCUAUCUAGCCACACUAAGUACACAACAAUUGGGAUUCGCACAGAGAGUUAUGUACUUAAUGUGUUCCCUAUUCACUUAUGGUAAUUAGCCACUGCUAGAAUGAAAUUACUUACCCCGGCUAUGGAUGUGCGAAUAGAGAUUUUACCACAGAUAUUUAUCAUAAAAAAGUAUAAAGAACACAUACGCAAAUGUACUUCAACUUGUAUUACACAAAAAAUAUAAGUAACACGAAAAGUAUUACAAAAGGAACUUAACACAAAUAAAACUUAACGAACUAAUAGUAUUAAACACUAUAAAAAACCUUUAACCGAGGGCCUGAGCUCUCCUGUAUUUUAGGGUACUUUUAACUUGUCAAUUCGCGACUCGUGUCGUUUAAGAACUGCGACGAGUUUAGGUAGCUAAUUUGGCUAGCCAGCCAAAUUAGCACCUUGACCACGCCUAUUGUUACCAGAUUGGUAAAGGGUUGACAUACGAGUAUGCUUUAUUGACGAAUAUUGGUAGUGGCUUUAAGGCAUAUACUUCCUACUCUAACAAAAUAAGAUGGUUCAGGAAUAAGUAGAAACGAAUUAGGUAAGUAGACGUUUAUUCAAAAUAAUAUUAUGAUCAAUUUGCUGUGUUGUUUUAAUCAUAAUAAUCGCAGUUCUUUAACCGAGGAAGGAACAGCCAACGAACUCGAUCUUAUGGUAUCCGACCAAUAAGAAUCUUUCUUUCUCAUCAAGCUAAUAAUGUAGGCCAUUUACAUAUUAAAUCUUCCGCGUGUAAAAAUCGUUUUUUCAAAUUUCAGAGAUGGGUGUUGAGUAGUUUUUUGUCACAUUUUAUUGUAUUUUAUUUUAUGUAAUAUUGCUCGAUAUUUCUCAGGGUUUUCCUGGUCUGUUGGGUUGAUAGGGUGGUGUUCAAUUGUCACCGUCGGUAUCCGGAUCGACCUUGGUCUCGAUGGGGAUUGAGUUGUAACGUUGUUGAGCAGGAUGGCUGACUGGGUUCACUGUGUUAAUAGGUCGUUGACCUCUCCCGAACCCUGCAUCAGGCGCCAUGGGUUGAAUUGCGUGGGUUGCGGCUGCGAGCUUUAGCGUCAUCUAACUGGUUCCAAAGUAGUGAGUCAUCGAAUAAACCAUUUGUAGUUUCAUUGAAAGUUGAUAAUCAUGUUCAAAGCUAAAUAAUGAAACAACACAGGAAUUAGCGGUUUUCAAAAUCAAUGUGACAUUUUCGAAGAUUAAAACUUCGAAAAUUCUCAUGGUACCUGAUAAGAAAUCCAGUUGUUUACAUUCGAUUACCGUAGACAGCUUCUCAAAAUGCAAUCAUUUGAACUGAUUUCAUCGUAUUAGCGGAAUCAUCGACUUGUAGUUAACUUCGAGAACCUGUAACAAUGUCAACGUUAAUGAUCAUUGUUCGAUAAAAGUUAAAUAUGAAGUAAAAUUAACUUACCGUAGAUAGCUCUCUUCGAAGUUUAUGACACGUUAUCGGCGAGUAUAGUGAACGUUAAAUUUUUGAUCUUUUGGCCGCGGUGGUUUUUUUACCGGUUGAGCUAGCCGAGGCGGCGGCGUCUGCCGUUGCGGUCGUCUCUGAGUAGUCGCAGAUCUUCAAUAUGAUAAAGUGACAUUUAUAAUGAUCGGGGUUAGGUGAGGUAGAUGAGAAAGACUAUAUGGUGGGUUUAUAUAAUAAUACUUUCUACCUGAGGUUGCGGGCGUAUAACCGAGUGUCCAACAUUCCUUCGUGUGGUUUUCCAUCUUCGAGAUAUCGCGCUAGUGCGAAUAUAUGUCCGUCCCCCAUCAGAAGAAUUAAAUGAGCGAAGAAAGCGCUGACGUAAAGGUUGUUUCCGAUUUUGAAUCCCGCAGUCGUGAAAAUUGGGUUUACCUGUAGUGCACUUCAAAAUUAACGCCUCUGGCCCGAUUUUCGAUCGACUAGUCACUCAAAAAGUACUGCAUCUCAUCGCAGCUAAGUACGGAGGGGCAGAGGGUGUGUAGCCGGCUUCGACCGAUUUCAGCUUCUAAACCUGUAACAGAAGUAACAACACGUAUUCUAUUAGUCAACAUCAUCAAAUUACUCAAAGGAACGAGUAAUUAAUUAAGAACGCCUACAUCCCGAAUGCCUCGGUGUAUCCCCCAGGGGCAAUUUCCGGCAAUUACUUACUGACAUUACAUUCCGCUUUGCAAGAUUUAUGCAACCAUUCUGGGAGAACUCUGAGUUUGUCAAAUGUCUGGAAACCAUGCUCAAAUGCUCAAUCUUUAUUUAUUUAUUUAUUUAUUUAUUUAUUUAUUUAUUUAUUUACAAUUUAGGUCUCUCCAACAGCGUAAGCCAAUUGGAAAAUGUACAACCUCCUGCGGCAGUUAUCAGCAUUAUUACAGUGACUGAUGUGUAUAAAUAACCCACUAAUUAAGUAUUUUAAUUAAUUUCAUUAUUACCUUUUGACAAGAUGAAACCGCAUUUACGCAUUUUCUUACUUGUUUGCUUAACUUUGAAUUUUUGCAGCGGAAGCAAUUGCAUUACUUACCGCAAUGAAAAUUAUGAUUUUCAACUGCAGCAGGUUAUAAUUGGAUUAAAAUUUAAUGUAUAUUUUUUUAUUGAAUUGAAAUUUUUAAUUUGAAAUAUUUAAUGAUUUACUUGACAUUGAAUUAAAAAAUUGAAUAAAUUUUAAAUUAUUAGAUAUCUAUAAUAAAAAAAAAUGGACAGUUUUUUAUAAAACUAAAUAAAAUUAUAUAAAGUCAAAUAAACUACUUAAAUGAUUGAAAAGUAAAUCAAAAACCACCCUUUCACCGCCUGUAUGAGUUGAAUUACUGACCCUUGUUCGGGAUCGUGACGUUAUGGAAAACAUUUAUCAUGCAUAAAAAAAUGGGAUACAAACCAUCUCAAUUACAUAUUUUGGAAAUUUUAGCGCCGUACACAAAAAUUAUGAACGAAGUGAAUUUGACCCCCUCUCAAGAAUCUUUGAAUUUUAAAUUCAUUCUACUUACAUACUUUAAUUUGCUUAAAAUCAACUUCAACAAGUAUGCUCUGCUCGAAAUUGGUGCUUACCUACUCGGAAAAAAAAAUUAAUAAAAAUUACUAUUUCAGUAUAGUAACCGGAUCCCAUUCAAAAAUAAUAGUGAUUUUUACUCAGCCAAAAAAUACAUUUUAGGCUACCUAUAGAAUUAGGUAAAAUUUAUUACUCUCAUAGUAAAAAUCGCAAUAUUUUUGAAUGGGAUCCAGUUACUUACUGUUUGAAAUAGUGAAAAUUAACCAUAAUUUUUUUUUCCAUGUAUGUACAUAUGUAAUAAGCACUUGCAAUCCACUUGGAAUUUCAAAAAAAUAUAUAUAAAAACUGAAUUUCCGCAGUUCACGUCAAACAGUAGAUGGGUACAGGAAGCGUGAAUUUUUCAAAUUUCUAAUCGUGAAACUACCGAUGACCAAAAAUAUGGUUCAGAACCAAUACGCAGCGGUUUUGAAAAAAUGGCGAGUAAUCGGCCAAGAAACUCCCCAACAAGCACCAUCGCGAGCUAGAGUAAAUUUGGGCAAACUUAUCGACUUUUUUGAAAUAACUGGAACUUCCAAAAUGUCGCAAGAGGCUCAAGAACAGAAUGAAACCACUUCUAGUCAGCUUAAUCAGUUUAAUUUGUUGAACUUGGAUUAAGGCCGAAAACGCCGAAUCUGCAGCUAAGAAUUCGAAUAUGAACGAAACUCUCAUCACAGAUUUAUACACUAAACUUUUCACCAUCAAAAAUGAAACUAAAAUCAGAAACAUUUUCAUUACUCGAAACUUUUAUAAAUAUGUCCCAAUUGGCCUGAGAAAUGCUAGACAGCACAUUCAUCUAACCACUUGAUCAUGCAAUUUCAGCAUUCAAGAUGCUCGUAUGGAUUCUUAUUUUUUUUUCAAUAAAAUUCAUCCAUACUUGAUAAUUUUUUACAAAGUGAUGAGUUCAAUUUUAAAAAAAUAAAGCUAGCUUAUACGCCUACUGUAUAUGACGUAGAUGCGAUUAAUAGAUACAUGCUUACAAGUACAUUUUAACUGAGUAACCUGGGCUGGAGAUGAAAAUCAUUUAGAAACGGAGAUUAAGCAACACAUUUUUCUAAAGUUUAUUCACUCGAUAAGUGUAUUAUUUUGUUAGUGAAUUUUUUACAAGGUGUCUAAUUAUUAUUUUUAAGAAUUACCUAGUUGUUUUAGAGAAUUUAAUCUGUAUUUUACGAGUCGAUAUACUCCCCCCCCAAAUAAGUUGGAUGGUUUUGGUUUACAAUAUGAGAUCAUUGAGAUCUCGUAAAAUAACCUACGAUCGGUUCUACAUCUAGUCCUAAAUUGCAUUAGUUGGUAAUGGAUUGGUUUUGAGUAAUCGAUGUGAUAGAUUUCAUAACUGUGAUUUUCACCAUCAUGUUUCUUUUCAUACCUGUGAUUUUCACCAUGUUGUUUCUAUCAUUCUGUUUUGAGUUAUUUUACCUGUAAUAACAUCAUUCGAAUUGUUCAACUGAAGUAACUCGUGUUCAAAGUUUCUUGCUUGUAUGUACUUCUUAAAAACAGCUGAUUUUAGAUAGUCAUUGAAUUUUUCAAAAUUUGCACCUUUUAAGACGUGUCGCGAAAUGAAGAAUAAUAAUCCCUCAGCUGAGAGAAUUAAAAUGAACUUCAUUUACUAUAACCAACAUCCAAUACUGUGAUUUCAUUGUUUUCGUUUUUGUUAUAGUAAAAAAAUUUCUAACUUUAAGAUCUAAUCUAAGUGUCGUGAUUUAAAAUAUAACUAAAAAUACAAAUAAAUGUAAAAAAACAAUAAUAAAAUUUGUAAACGAGUUGUCGCAGUCGGCACGACGACAAGCGAAUUUUCGUUGGAGCCCCAUAGAGAAUAGGCUGAGGAAUGUUCCCCUGCUAAUUUCAACGGGGUGUGGAUUUUUUUUCAAUUUUUUGAUGUAAAUUAAUCUGAAACACAAAAAAAAUUAGUACCCCGCAUUCAGAACAAAUCGCUCGUAUCAUUUCUGAAAAUAACGUAAAGUGAAGAAAUCUUAGUCAAUGUGAAACUAAAAGAAAAAUUCGCUCGUACAAAUAUUGGUAAAGGAUGGUAGCGCAAGAAAAAUUCACAAAACCAAACUUGAAAGAAAAAAAAUCGAUCGUAAAUUCUGCAAGCGAAAUUUACAAGUGAGCAAAAUUUCACGAAAGUCAUUCAGAAGCUUGGUUAAAUUGCCAUAAAAGCGAUUUGAAAUACACCCAAUUACAUUUAAACAAGAAAAACUUGAGAAAAUUUUGCAAACAAAAAUUAUUAUUAAUUACGAUAAAUUGAUCGAAAACUGUCUGAAGUUCCAUUUAGUGAGAGGUUCUGUCUGAUCAUAUUCGAUUUGUCGAGGUCAUCUGAUUUGAAAAUCGAAUUUUCGAUCCGUGCCACUGUCACUGCUACCGACUGAAGUGGAGAUGAAUCUAUCAAUUCCGAUGAAUUAUCAUUCUUGGCAUCGCUAUGUAGCUGUACCGAACAAAAAUAAAUAUAUUAUUUCUACAUUUAUACAAAGCAGGCACACAAACGAAUAUUCCAAGAAAUAAUCUAUAAUCCAAGAUACUUUAGUCGUAAAUGUGAGACGACUAAGUAUUGGUAGGAAAUGCGUGAUACUAGAUAGCCACGCCAAGUACACUUCAAUUGGGAUUAACACAUAGAGUCAUGUACUUGGUAUGUUCUCAGACACGAAAUAAAUUGAUAUGCGAAGCUGUCAAUGAAUCUACCCCGGCUUGAUGCGCGAAUGACUGGAACCCCCUGGCCGAACCAUGGUGCCCGGUGGUGCUCCGCGAGCACCUAGUAUUGGCUGCACCAUUCCUGUCGGCUUUUGAGAUGGAUCCGCUACGAGUACUUUAGCCAAAGUACCCGCUUUAGCCAUCUCUAUGGCCUUCAAAUCGUCCGCGUCGGUAGGCCUUUUCUCUUUUUUCGACUUAGGUUUUUGCAAUUUUACCGCCUUCGCUUUGCCAGUCGGGGUUAAUUUUGGUGGUUGCGCCGAGGAAUCUGAAAGCAUACCCGAGCUAGGAUACCCUUUAAAUUGAAUUUGUCGAUGCGCCCGGGCUCAAGUGAAAUUGUUAAUCGAAGCAUAUCGCGAGUGGGCUCGAACAAAGUUCAACUGUGUGAAUCCGACUACGGAACCUAGAAACUUGGGUAAGAUUUGUAUCUGUUAUUCACGCAUUGUUCGAUUUUUAAAUAUGACAAACCAAAAGAUUAUUGUUUGUGUAUAAUAUCCUUACCAAAGGUUACAUUUUUCAAAACAGCCAUUUUAGCCUUAUAUACUUCUAAAUAGCCUAGCGAUGCAUGCGCCAAUCUCGUAUGCCAUAGAAGACCCAAGUUCUCACGAAUAGUGAGAGAAGUUGGACUUGGACCUCCAUCAUCAGCAUUUGUCAACAUAGCUACCUGUUCCAUCCUCACUAUUGGUGGUUUGUCUUCGUCUGGUUUCGAUGAUUGGUCAGUCUGGGAGUUACCAGAUUGAUCUUUCAUCUCAGCGUCGAUGAUUGGCUCUUCGACUGACGAUUGUUCGGCGUUUGGUUCAGUCUCCGGUUGUUCGGUGUUAUCAGCGAUGAAUACAUGAGUCACCGAGCUAGGUGACUGUAGUAUUGCAUCUUCUGUUUUUUCCGACUCAACGUUAUUUUCACCGUCUUCGCUUGUCAAGUCAUAUUCUGUCGAACUUCCUUCUAGGAUGUCGUCGUCGAGAGGUUCGUUGGACCACUGAGAAACCGAUGUAGGUCUCUCCACGGUCGGACCGAGCUCUGGACGGUAAUAGUGGCUCGAUACCUCAUUGUCGGUCAGCUCAGGUACUGUCUGAGUCGUAUUUCCAGUUGGAACAGGCGCCGAGUUGAAUAGUUUUUAGGAAACAUUAACGGGUACCUGUAGACCCCUUCGGAAUCUGCGACAGGUCUUUCUGUAGGUUUAACACCAUUCCACUUCAGCGUAUCCUGGUGGAAAUCCGCAUUGUACAUGGGAACCGAAGACACAGUUGGAAAGCGUGACAGUAGUAUAAGGGCCUGUAUAACACUACAUUUUUUUUUUGGUCGGGUAUAACACACUCGUAAUUUUUCCAAGUCUCUUAUCGCAGUUGUGGUUGCGAUAAUAAUUCUCGUUAGCCACAUUAGCUGGAACUACGAUUAUUUUGUAUGCCUUGCAUUGAUUUUAUCAUAUUCUAGCCGUCCGUUCGACAGAAAAUAUAUUAACUUCCUCCUCAUCAUACAGGAGAAAACGUCGUUUUUGGACUCUUUGUACCGAAAGAGCCGAAAUGAUAAAUUUUGAGCCAAAUGGUGGUUAUUUUGCUGUAUACAAGAAAAAGGCGAUACGUUCUGAGUGUACCAGAGUUUGACAGAGGCGAAAAUCGAAAAAUGGCACGUGCGGGGUACUUUGAAUCGAAUGGUCUGCUACAAAUUUUAUGAUUUGUAAUGUGUGUAAUGGGUCAAUACAUUCAAUUAUUAUCCGUU